AUUUACACAUAUGUACAUAUCAAAUAACUUGUAUAUGAUUAUAUCUGCAAUCCCUGUAUACUUUUUACAUACUUUCAAACAGUUCUCUUACUAUGAAACGGUCACGAACGUUUACUCGUAUCGAAAAAAAGGAAAAAAAAUGGUUCCAUUUUUGGAUAUAAAUCUGUUCGGCGAUGAUUUUCACAUGGCAUGUUUUCUCUAACUUGUUUUAUAAAGUUCAAAUCAAUUUCUGCUAAAGCUAUAUCAGUUUUAUCACUACACUGAGCUACUACUGUUCCCCAUGGGUCAACAACCUGCAAAAGUUGUACAUAUAGCAUUAGCAAUUACAAAUUAAAAAGUAUCUUAAAAGUUACACAAA
Osmia lignaria (orchard mason bee) is the source of this 358-nucleotide long non-coding RNA. RefSeq lists it as uncharacterized. The record is from RefSeq and is a predicted model, not a curated record. NCBI's taxonomy places the organism in Eukaryota, Metazoa, Arthropoda, Insecta, Hymenoptera, Megachilidae.